Long non-coding RNA from Melospiza georgiana, 454 nucleotides. RefSeq lists it as uncharacterized. The transcript has 3 exons. The record is from RefSeq and is a predicted model, not a curated record. Lineage: Eukaryota; Metazoa; Chordata; Aves; Passeriformes; Passerellidae.
CCUUCUCUUAGGCCUCCAUCAACCUCUCCUUAAGUCUUCUAGGAGUAUGAAGAAUGAAUCUCUUUCAUCCUCUGAGAGGCUUUAUCAUGUCUGCAUAUGAUGUUGCAUGUCUGCAGAUUGAGUGAAUCCUCACUUUGAUUUUCCUUCCACAUUCUGCAGUUCUCAAAAUGCCUCACUGGGACUGAAUGCAGGUUGCUACAACACUCAGUGUGCGUGCACACACUGUUGCUAAGAGCUCUGCUAUGUGUCACUUGCCAGCAUUCUACAAGGAAGAAAUUAAGGUGUUCAUCAUAAAAUACAUGUUUGAGCUGGGACAUAACACCAGAACAACAAAAAGAAGACUUCUUUACAUCCAGCCCCCAGCUCAGUUGGUAGCAGACAUGUGUUUCACUUGAUCACUGAAGCCAGCAGUGACUGAGGUCCAUUUCUGAACAGCUGUGUUCUGCAUAAAAAC